UUAACUUCAUCUUUAAACAUCUCGUUGAUUUUGAACUGGUUUUAUAAUUUGUGUUUGUUUGCUUCCUAUAAGGUUAUUGUAAUCUCAAACAAAUAUCACAAUAUUUGGUUAGUACUCAAUUUUAUGAACAUCUAUUUUUGUUAUUAUAUCAUUAUGUAAGAAAUAGUUAAAAAUAUAUAUAUUUAAACCCAAUAGAGUCUAUAAUCUAGGUUAUUGGUUUGACAGGUUAAACAGCAAAGCCAGAGUCGAUCAACAAUAACACAAUCUAAAUA
This 272-nucleotide long non-coding RNA is filed under the name Populus tremula. Its description in RNAcentral is "long non-coding RNA (PTRE_LNC001795)". The record is from RNAcentral. Lineage: Eukaryota; Viridiplantae; Streptophyta; Magnoliopsida; Malpighiales; Salicaceae.